Long non-coding RNA from Pyrus x bretschneideri (Chinese white pear), 1551 nucleotides. RefSeq lists it as uncharacterized. Lineage: Eukaryota; Viridiplantae; Streptophyta; Magnoliopsida; Rosales; Rosaceae. The record is from RefSeq and is a predicted model, not a curated record. The transcript has 3 exons.
UAUGUGAAAUUGUGAAACUUUUUCACAAAUGUCAUCGCUCUUGGUCACUAGAGGGCACUGAUCUACCUCAACUUGGUCUUCUGGUCAAAGUGACCAUUCAGCCUCCAGCGGCCCAUCAACCAUUACUGAGUCGGCAGCCAGCUCCAGUACUUUUGCUUCAUCGGGGCGAGUGGUCCGGUUUCCUAGGCGACCUCACAGCAACGGUCGACAUAAGCAUGUGGCUGUCCCAACCCACCCUAUUAAUGCCGCAGAGGCCAAUUUAGCAACCGCGCAGCAGGUGGAAGACAGAUAACACCCCACCGGGCCGAAGACCAAAGUGCUGGGGAUAUGUAAAGGGUUGGCAAGCAACCAGAUCACAUAUAUAUAUUGUAGGCUUAGAUCUGGAUUCAUUACAACCCGAGUCAACGGCAAACAAGCCUGAAAGUCAAUAACUUGUUGACUCACGACAUGAGUGCCAUCAUUCUCACUAAGUGCCCCAUGGGCAUCGAUUUGCGGAGGAAGCACACUUGCAUGAUCCAUGCCAAGAUGAUAAGAUAGAUUUUGAUUAACAUGAGGAUUUGGGGACUGCUAAGUACAUACACCAAGUUUGGACUGGUACAAGGAGUGAAAAUAGAAGCUCCCUUCUACUACAAGACUUGUCAGCCUCCUGAUGCAACUCCUAUUGAUCCACACAAGGAGUUUCAAGAUAGGCUUGACGAAUGGGAGAGCUAUGCACUCAAUUUUAGAGCCCGACAUUUUUGAUAAGUUUUAUUUAUAUUUUGAUUAUAGUUCAAUUUUUUUAAAUUUAAGUUUUUUAAUUUUAAUUGAUCUUUUGAAUUUACAGCGUAAAUCAGCUACAAAUAAAGGUAACUAGGAAAGGAAGCUGUACUUCAUCAUUCAUAUUCUCAACCCCUAUCUUACCAGGUCGAGAAACGGCAAGCGAAGGGAUAACAUUUCUCAGAAGCGAAGGCUUGAGGGGAUACGCAUGCCAAUUAUGGCAACCCCAUCACUGACGACAAUAUCUUCUAUGCAACAGAAGAAGGAUGAGUACCUCAUCAACCUCUCACAAUAACAACCGGACAAGUCAAUGGAGGAGAUAACACCUGAUCUAGAAGUGCCCUUAUAAUUGCUAAUAGACGGGGUUGGUGGACCAAAUGGCAAAGAGCUUCAUGGCCAAUGAGCGGGUCGCAUUCAAGAUCUUGGGGGUCUUCUUCUUCUUCUAGCUUUCAUCCUCCAACGGAGAUGUCUUCCAAACUGCAAUUGCAGAUGGAGCUAGCAAGGCAAUGAAAAGAAGUCGAGCUCAAAGAGAAGAAACAGCACACCAAAGAGAAGAAGCUGCUUGCGAGCGUGAAGCUGUGCGCCAAUAAACGUGACGAAUGUAUUCGAUAAUGCAUUGCUCAAAUAGCCGAAGGAAUGUCAGCUUUUGGGAUUCGCAUUCCGGAGCCCUCUAGCAAUCUUUAGGCAAUAUUCCAUUAGGCACCUCAACAGCCACCCGAUUAGUUAUAGUGAAUUAGUUUAGUUUUUUUUUUUUACACGCAAUUGCCCGAACAAUUUUAUUUUCAAUAUAAUUAA